GAUGAACGCUGGCGGCGUGCCUAAUACAUGCAAGUCGAGCGAACAGAUGAGGAGCUUGCUCCUCUGACGUUAGCGGCGGACGGGUGAGUAACACGUGGAUAACCUACCUAUAAGACUGGGAUAACUGCGGGAAACCGGAGCUAAUACCGGAUAAUAUAUUGAACCGCAUGGUUCAAUAGUGAAAGACGGUUUUGCUGUCACUUAUAGAUGGAUCCGCGCCGCAUUAGCUAGUUGGUAAGGUAACGGCUUACCAAGGUAACGAUGCGUAGCCGACCUGAGAGGGUGAUCGGCCACACUGGAACUGAGACACGGUCCAGACUCCUACGGGAGGCAGCAGUAGGGAAUCUUCCGCAAUGGGCGAAAGCCUGACGGAGCAACGCCGCGUGAGUGAUGAAGGUCUUCGGAUCGUAAAACUCUGUUAUUAGGGAAGAACAAAUGUGUAAGUAACUAUGCACGUCUUGACGGUACCUAAUCAGAAAGCCACGGCUAACUACGUG
Molecule: ribosomal RNA, 497 nt
Filed under: uncultured bacterium
Lineage: Bacteria
Description: partial 16S ribosomal RNA
Rfam family: Bacterial small subunit ribosomal RNA
Source: RNAcentral